Molecule: unclassified non-coding RNA, 148 nt
Organism: Pongo abelii (Sumatran orangutan)
Lineage: Eukaryota; Metazoa; Chordata; Mammalia; Primates; Hominidae
Rfam family: Metazoan signal recognition particle RNA
About the family: The signal recognition particle (SRP) is a universally conserved ribonucleoprotein. It is involved in the co-translational targeting of proteins to membranes.
Source: Ensembl
GCUGGGCAUGGUGGUGCAUGCCUGUAGUCCUAGCUACUCAGGAGGCUGAGGCAGGAGGAUUGCUUGAGGCCAGGAGCUUGAGGCAGCAGUGACCUAUGAUUACACCACUGCACUCCAGCCUGGAUGACAGAGUGAGACCCUGUCUCUA